AAGACUAUAGACCUGCGGAGUACCUGCGGAGGGAUCAUUACAGAGUUGCAAAACUCCCAAACCAUUGUGAACGUUACCUUCUCGUUGCUUCGGCGGGCGGCCCGGGUCCUUCCCGGCGCCCCCCGGCCCCUCGCGGGCGCCCGCCGGAGGUAAACCAAACUCUUGAAUUGUAUGGCCUCUCUGAGUCUUCUGUACUGAAUAAGUCAAAACUUUCAACAACGGAUCUCUAGAUCGGAAGAG
This 240-nucleotide unclassified non-coding RNA is filed under the name soil metagenome. Its description in RNAcentral is "partial contains 5.8S ribosomal RNA, internal transcribed spacer 2, and large subunit ribosomal RNA". The record is from RNAcentral.